AGAGUUUGAUCCUGGCUCAGAUUGAACGCUGGCGGCAUGCUUUACACAUGCAAGUCGAACGGCAGCACGGGGGCAACCCUGGUGGCGAGUGGCGAACGGGUGAGUAAUGCAUCGGAACGUACCGUGUAAUGGGGGAUAACGAGUCGAAAGACUUGCUAAUACCGCAUAUGCCCUGAGGGGGAAAGGGGGGGAUCGCAAGACCUCUCGCUUUCGGAGUGGCCGAUAUCAGAUUAGCUAGUUGGUGAGGUAAAGGCUCACCAAGGCGACGAUCUGUAGCUGGUCUGAGAGGACGACCAGCCACACUGGGACUGAGACACGGCCCAGACUCCUACGGGAGGCAGCAGUGGGGAAUUUUGGACAAUGGGCGAAAGCCUGAUCCAGCCAUUCCGCGUGAGUGAAGAAGGCCUUCGGGUUGUAAAGCUCUUUCGGCAGGAACGAAAUGGUCGCGGUUAAUAACCGUGACUUCUGACGGUACCUGAAGAAGAAGCACCGGCUAACUACGUGCCAGCAGCCGCGGUAAUAC
Molecule: ribosomal RNA, 523 nt
Filed under: uncultured Nitrosomonadaceae bacterium
Lineage: Bacteria; Pseudomonadati; Pseudomonadota; Betaproteobacteria; Nitrosomonadales; Nitrosomonadaceae
Description: bacterial SSU rRNA
Rfam family: Bacterial small subunit ribosomal RNA
Source: RNAcentral